Long non-coding RNA from Heterocephalus glaber (naked mole-rat), 2027 nucleotides. Lineage: Eukaryota; Metazoa; Chordata; Mammalia; Rodentia; Bathyergidae. The record is from Ensembl.
GAAGAGAGCUGAACAGCACGCUGUUCCUGUUGCAUGGAUGUUGUGUCCUCCUCUAGUCUCUUCCCCCAUUUUUCAAGUUGGAUUGUCACGCCUCGCAGGCUGAACAAAGGCUUUGCUUUGCAGGAAGGAUCCUCCUGUCUUCCGUGUGUCAUCUGCCUUUAAGGGUGUAAUUUGUUUCUGAUGUAUGCAGGGAGCUCCCAGGAGAAGGGUCUCACACCAGGUUGCUAAGCUACCCAGGCUGGGAUUGAAAUUGUGAUCUUCUUGCCUGAGCCUCCCAAACUUUUUUUUAGAUCUUGAAGCAAAAACUCUUGCAGUCCUUAAAAAUUAGGAUGUAGUUGGACUUGCUGAUGUUAAGAAGAUUUUUAAGAGCCAGGGAUUUAGCUCAGUGGCACUGUGCCUGCCUUGAAAACACAACAUCCUGAAUUCAAUCUCUAGUAUCAGAAAAAAAAGGUUUUUAAUAUGUCAGUAUCUUCUACAUGCCAGGCGCUGCAGUAAGGACUUGAAAUGAUAUAUGAAGCAGGUAUUAUUACUGCCAUUAUGCAAAUGAGGAUGGAGCUCCGAGAGUUUCAGUCACUGGCAUUGCACAGCUGAGACCCAGACUCGGUCUGACUCUGAACUCUGCUUUUGUGGUCUUUAUCACUCUCCUGUAGACAUCUUGUCUGUCAUUAGGAUGAAAAGGCUUGUGAGUGUGAGUGGGUUACAAAGUGUAGCUUGAAAAAGAAGACAACCUCGGAGAAGCUGCCAGUCCGUACCAUCUUUCUCUGCUUCCUUGUUUUCCAGGAAGCUUUUCAGAGAGACCAGAAUCUUCUCAGUAGCCAGAACCACAUGGUGGAGCCGUCUUGAUGUCCCAGGAUAGUCGGACACCUGCACACGUGUGCCCUUCUCUCUGGGACUUUGAGGCAGCCUUGCAGAUGCUGAGUCUCAGAAUUUGCUUCCAGCUCGAGGGACAUCUUAGGGAGGUGAUUCUCCACAUUGGUCCCCAUGGCUACGCCACUUCCGUCCUCUUGAGAAAAAAGGCAGGAAAGCAGCAGACCUCCUCCAACUGGUAGAGUGAACCCCGGAGGCUCUGGGAGACUUGCCAGUGGAACUUGGGAGUGGAGCAGCUUUGCCUUACAUCCCCCCUAGACUUCCAAAGGCAUCUUGAAAACAGUCUCUGGAAAUUUUGAAAAAAUCGAAUCUUGAACUGAAUUCCUUUUGUGGUUUGGAUGAAACAGUCUUUUGCUGCCUCGCCCUUAUCUGCCUCUCAGCCUUCCUCUGUCUGACACACAUCAUUGUGGUUCUUUCCCACACUGGUUUGGGCUUUCCAUGUCCCAGACUCUGCAGAGCUUCCUCCUGGGAUCUGCGGCCCAGCUUCUCUCCCAAGCCCACAUUCCCACAGGAGCCAAAUUGGGGAUCACUAUGGGGAAUGGAAAUGGGGACAUUCUAUUGCGGGACAGAAUGUGGUGCAGUGUGUGGGGUCCCCCGGUUGUUUAUUGACAUUCUCAGUCAGCCCUGCAGUGGGCAUGCAGGCAAGACAAGACGUUCGAAAAGACCCACCUGAAAAAUUAUUUCCCAAGCACCGCAGUAUGUGCUUUUUUUCAUAAGGAUCGUACAACUCAUCAUAAACAAAUCGUGCAUGUGAUUAUUUUCUGCAUAUUGAUUAAAGUUCUGUUUUUCAACUUCUGUAGCCAGCCAAUAUGUCUAGAUACUGGAAUUCCUUAUAAUCUGUAGGCCUGAGUACCUGCCCUGAUUUAGCAAGCGGACUUCAUUUUUUUUCUUAAAUCUUUUUUUCUCUUCCAGUUUUCCAAAGAAAUUAGACCAACGUCUUAUUGGUGGAAAGAAAGCAACCUGCUGUAUGCAUAGGGAGAGCACGGUCAUGCAGUGAUGUUGAGGCAAGUGUGAGGACUAAGCUCUCCAGUGGAACUGGGAAAGGGGGACUUGCCUGCGGCACUUUGAAGGAAGCCUGUGCUGACUCAGUCUGUGAGUCCUGUUCAUUUCUGUUAGUGAGGUAGGAAAAUGUAUUGCGAAGCAUUUUGUUUCACCUAAGG